CCGGCGGACGGGUGCGUAACGCGUAUGCAACCUGCCUGACACAGGGGGAUAAUCCGAAGAAAUUUGGUCUAAUACCCCAUAAUACCGAUAUAGGCAUCUAUGUUGGUCGAAAGCUUUGGUGGUGUCAGAUAGGCAUGCGUUGUAUUAGCUAGUUGGUGAGGUAACGGCUCACCAAGGCGACGAUACAUAGGGGGACUGAGAGGUUAACCCCCCACCACUGGUACUGAGACACGGACCAGACUCCUACGGGAGGCAGCAUG
Molecule: ribosomal RNA, 260 nt
Filed under: uncultured bacterium
Lineage: Bacteria
Description: partial 16S ribosomal RNA
Rfam family: Bacterial small subunit ribosomal RNA
Source: RNAcentral